AUGCACUUUCAUGACAGAGAGAACUUGGAGAGAUCAGUUUGCAUUUCAGACAUAACAUAUUAUAAUUUGGUUGCCCUGAUAGAGACAGAGGGAUAUGGGCUGAAUGAUUUCAUGUAUAUUGUGAGGGAUCCUGGUGUGGGGAUAGAAGGAAUGGAUGAAAUUUGUGAUGAUGAUAAGGUGGAUGAAAUGCUUGACCAUAUUGCUAACAAUGAUCAGAAUGUAGUUAACUUGACAGUGGUUAGGGGCACUGAUCCAAGACCUGCAGCUUUGAACUCGGGCCAUCUGUAUGAGGAGCGGCUUCCUUUGAGCCAAUUAGGAGAGAAACCUGUGUAUGUAGUAGAUCCUUCUGGUGUUCUCUUAAGAUCACCACCAACAAGUAUAAUACAGAGUCAACCAGAGCCACUACAGUUCUACACCACACAGCAGAGCACAAACCAUGAUAUGCAGGUUCCUUUGGAUACAGAUGCUGCCAUGGAACAAUGCAUUGUAGUAGAUCAGGAUGAAGUGGAUACAAUAAUGGAGUUGAAGAGGAGAACAAAGAUUGCCAAAUUUAGGAAACAUAAGAUUGCAACUGAGCAUGAAAGGUUAAGCAGAAGCUCCCAAUUCUGCUAA
RNAcentral lists this ribosomal RNA (612 nucleotides) under Triticum aestivum (bread wheat). Its description in RNAcentral is "partial small subunit ribosomal RNA". Lineage: Eukaryota; Viridiplantae; Streptophyta; Magnoliopsida; Poales; Poaceae. The record is from RNAcentral.